This is a long non-coding RNA of Oncorhynchus mykiss (rainbow trout), 797 nucleotides long. RefSeq lists it as uncharacterized. NCBI's taxonomy places the organism in Eukaryota, Metazoa, Chordata, Actinopteri, Salmoniformes, Salmonidae. The record is from RefSeq and is a predicted model, not a curated record.
CGGCCCUCCCUCAGGCAUCUUUGCUUCAUUGGUUGACACCGCGUGUCUGAUUGACAGGAACAACAGGUGAGGCUGUUAGUCUGAGCAGACAGUCAGAACGAAUGUGUGUGUGCUUGAGCAUUUAGGCCUAAAUUAUUUUAUUUUUGGUUCUUGGAAUUUGUUAAUUCAUAUCUUAUUUUUUUUUAAAAGUUUUAUAAAUAGAUUUGGCUCUUCUGAUAUGCGAGCCGGCUCCCAAUGUUCACCUACAAGAGCCAGGUCUUAGAGCCGACUCGUUCGCGAAUGACCCAUCACUAUGCCAGAUGCAGAUAUGUUGAGGGGAAAAGCAGCGUGCUAUUUGGGGAUUGCCAAAGGAUACACACCUUAAGUAAAACAGAGAAAGAAAGGCAAAGGGUUUCAGGAAGGAUGUCAAGGGAUACCCGGUUGGAAAGAGAGACUGUAAAGACCAACGCCAGACAGGAGAAGCAGGUAGCCCGAAGAUUGAAUUGGAGGUACAUAAAGAGCGCAGGGCGAUGAGUCAAAGUCAAAGCCGAAAUUGAGAUUCAAAGAUAAACAGCUGGAUGACAUCUACAACCAGAAGGAAAAGAUAAAACGUGCAGGAAAGGAGUGAUGAUGCAAAGGUUUAUGUGGACCCGCGGAAGAAAGCACCAGUUAAAGGAGUCUACUAAUUCACUUUCAACCACUACAAGAGAAAUGGAACAGCUAUUGCCAAUGGAUAUGAUCACAACUCCAGCGAUGGUGAUGACAUGGCCGCCUCCAACGUUGUUUUAGAGAAUUUGGCAGUACGUCCAACCGGCCCC